RNAcentral lists this long non-coding RNA (2508 nucleotides) under Homo sapiens (human). RNAcentral describes it as "HSALNT0400111". Lineage: Eukaryota; Metazoa; Chordata; Mammalia; Primates; Hominidae. The record is from RNAcentral.
UCUCAGCCAUGGUUGCAUACCUUCCAAGCUCCACCGCCUCUUCUUCCUCGUGGGCAGAUCCCUGAUUUUGUGUAGGACAGCACUUGAAAUGUAUUUGUGUGCUCAACAUUGGUUUCCUCUCUGGAACCUGGGAUCACUUCAGGGGUGGACACGUGGCCCAACCAUGACUGAUGAGACAUGCGGGGAAAUCUGCAGAGGCAACUUCUAGGAAAGGUUGGGCUCUUGCAGCCACCCUGUGACUAUGAGGACUAUGAAGGGCUGAAGAUUUACUCUACUUGAGAACGAACCAGCAUUCUGACCACAAUGCCAGAAGACAAUACGGAAUUACUCAGUACAUGAAGCACCAGGAAGAUGACAACAGAAGAGAGAGGACCCAGACAUUGGAAUCAGCAGCCACCAGGUGCAAUCUCCAACAUGUGCGGGCUUUGGGAAAACACAAUCGGGCAAGUGAAGUUUGUUGCAGACAAGUUCUUCUUCCCCUCUGCCACAACCUCCUCCAAGGUUACAGGGAGAGCACCCUGUCUGUGAAGAAGCAGGUUCUCAUCUGAUACCAAAUCUGCUGGCACCUUGAUCUUGGACUUCCCAGACUCCAGGACUGAAGAUCACAGAUUGACAUCAGCAGGAAAACUUGCCAGGCAGCAGGAGGAUCCAUUUGAAAACUCACGAGAAAAAGGCCCUUGAGGCCUUUUUCCUGGUUAUUGAAGACAUCUUAGGAAACACUUAUGGUGACAAUUAAUCAAGCAAAAAUAGAUCCAGUUUUUCUGAAGAUCAAGCUUAACAUGUGUGCCAUGCUUUAAAAUGUCUUUCCAGGCACUCUCUCCUGCCCACGGAUCUUGCUUGGGAAAGGAAUGGGGCAAGUGGAAAUGGCCAUUUCUUAGAUGAACACAUCAGGGACUUGCUCCAGUCUGAAGUCUAUACAGAGCUAGGCUUUGAAUCCAGUCACGUAACUGCAUAGCAGCAAAUCAGCCUUUCAGAAUAUUGCAGGAUCAGCAAUGAAAUUCCCUUUGCCAGAGAAAUGGACAAACAAGGAAGCAACAAUGGUGAUGGUGGAAGUGUUCUUCAAGUCUAAGUUUGGGUUCUAGAAACAUCUGGCCAAAUAACGUCUUUCACAACUAAAAUAGAAUAUAAAGAAGCCAUUUGACCUGCCUCAGUUAUCAUGGUCAUCAUGACAAGCUGCAGCAGGACAAAUCAGCUUAACAAUUUCGGAAACUGCCAGAAAUGCUAUUUGGAUUAAUUUUUAUUUGGGAGUUGGCUAAAACUGGUCACAUCCCCAAAUACCUCAAGAUAAACAACAUAGCAUUAUCAUACAAAUCUAUAUUCACCAAAUUAGGUUAAAAUAGGCUGUUUUGAGAAGGUUGAAUUUUUUUAUGGGGAUUAUUCCCAAAAUACGUUUAGACACAAGAAGUUCAACUUUUCUUUUUUCCAUAUUUGAUGUCAAUCAAACUAAUUACUACAUGUUUGGAAUUGCAUUAAUUGUAUUCUUCAGUUACCUAUAAAAUUUAAUUAUCAUGUCUUUAUGGAAAUUUUAAUAUCAGAUAUAAAGAAUGGCAUAUUUAAAAUGACAUUUUAAUACUUUAUAAGAAGCAACAGAAAUUCGACUUCCAAAGCACCUCUCAGUACUACCAUUGGAGUACAUCUAUAUUUUUCUGUCAGAAUACUAUCCAAAGCAAGCAUAAGUAAUCCUUAUUUUCACGAUACAUUGAUGCUCAAAAGUUGUGUGUUCAGCAUGUCUACAAAGUAAAUUACCGUAUAUUUGAAACAGCAGACUAAAACUGAAGUAACAUCUGGAAAAAAUUGCCCUAAUUGCUAGCCCCUAAAUUCAUCUGACCUUGACACUCUCAUCUGAAUUUAAAAGUGUUUUAAAUUCUUAGCCAAUCAAUUCAAGCCAGAACUGAAUUCAUAUGUCUUCAGAAACUGCUAAUCUAGAACAAUGUAACUAGAAUAGAUUCCUGAUCAAACUUUGGUUUUGUUCAGGUAUCCACUCAUUUCCUAGGUGACCCAGAGGCCACAACUCACAACUCCACCCCUUCCCGUGGCUGGUCCAGGCUGUGCAGAUCUUGUAGUCACAAAGUCCUGGCAAUGGGCUGGGGGUGGGAUCUGACCUAGUGCUGACCAACAUGUCAAAAACAGAUGGCUGCAGAACCCUCUGGAAAAGCUUCCCUCAUUCUUAAGGAAUCCUGUGAAGAGAUGGUCUGUUUCUGUCCUGUUCCCUGGAUGUCAAAUGUCUGGGUUUGAGACCCAGAACUCCUGAAGCCAUCUCACAACUACAAGGGGAGCAGAUGUAGCCACUGAGGAUGGCCAAGCAGAGGGAGGGAGGACCUUUCCUGCCAGCAUCGCCAGCGGCUGAAUCACAGCCCAGAACCCCACAGCACCCUAAACGUCCUCUUAACAAAUGUAAUACGUUGUCUUACUGUUUGUGCCUGUGUGAAAAGUCCUCUUUGCUUGCAGUGAAGGCAUCCUAGUUGAUAAACAUGAAAUUUGAAAAUUGGAGAUUUCUUGGAACCAACA